AGGUGAAAGUGAGAAUUUAUCCUUCUAUUGUAUUGGUCCAUUGGUCACCAGUAAGAAAAUAAAUCAUCCUUACUGCCUUAAAGCACUAAACCCCUGACGAAGUCAUAGUGACGAAAUGCGUAGGGUUCACCAAUCGAAUUCAUUUGUGUCGCUGUGUUGAAAACCUCCACCUAGAGCUCACACAUUUGUUAAGGUGAGGGGAGAUUUAUGCCAUCUUCUGUACCUUGACAUUUAUGAGAAUCGGACUGGUGUUGCAAUAUUUUGUGUCAUUUUUUAAAACUAAAUGCUAAACAAAUAAAAUGUCAUUGUUUGACCAUUAA
This is a long non-coding RNA of Pseudophryne corroboree (corroboree frog), 320 nucleotides long. RefSeq lists it as uncharacterized. Lineage: Eukaryota; Metazoa; Chordata; Amphibia; Anura; Myobatrachidae. The transcript is spliced from 2 exons. The record is from RefSeq and is a predicted model, not a curated record.